GCAGGAAAGAAUAUCCAUGGGAAAAAAAGAAAGUCUCUUCCACAAACGGUACUGGUAAAACUGGACAGCAACAUGUGGAGGAAUGAAACUGGACCACUUUCUUACACCAUACAGAAAAAUGAA
Long non-coding RNA from Mustela erminea (ermine), 123 nucleotides. RefSeq lists it as uncharacterized. The record is from RefSeq and is a predicted model, not a curated record. The transcript is spliced from 3 exons. NCBI's taxonomy places the organism in Eukaryota, Metazoa, Chordata, Mammalia, Carnivora, Mustelidae.